CAUAAUUGAAAAUAUAACCUGAAGCAUUCAGUGUUCUUUAUUUUAUUAAAUAAUAAAGUUUAAAUCAGAAUUGUCUCUUUUUAAAAUUAUAUAGAGACGCACAGUAUUUCGUAUCAUCUAAACUGGAAAUUUAUACAAUAUUUCUAAAUUAUAGAAACAUAACACUUACCUCUCAGGAUCUUUCGGAAAUCUGGAAAAUGAUAAAUUUGAAUGUUUUUGCUUAUAUUUUCUACAAAAAGCUGCAGCACAACACGAGGGUCCGAAAGACGCCAUUUCUUCUUAGCACUGAAUGCCCUCUAGUGGCUGCUGGAAACGAGUUUACAAAAACCUCGAAGUUUCGUAUCCGUUCUAUCAUCAUCCGUGGUUAUGACUCUCUCAAAGAACCACGUGCAGAGAGAAAAGUGGUAAGCAUCGACGCACAGUGGGGUAUUUGACCGAUCUGGGCGGCCAAAAUUAUUUUUGUGGUUUAAUCUGUUGUAAACCCACAAUAUAAUUAGUUCAUUGCAUUUUUUAGUGAUAGAUAAUUUUAUUGAAAAAAAUAUAUUAUUGUUAAAACAUUUUUAUUCUAUAUAUUCAUAUAAAAGUAACAUAAAAAAAUACAAGUAAAAUAAAAACUUAACAUAAAACUAACAAAAAAUGAAAUAAAAGAAAAAGUACGAAGAAUUUUAGUAGAACCGGAAGAUGUAUCUUCAGAAGACAAUUCACAAUUAUUUCCGUUUUCUUCCUCAGAAUCCUUUUCGUAUUGGGCUUCGUGAGGUUCUGCAGGAAGCAGCAUAUCAAUAGUUUCUUUUAAGAAGGCUUUGUUUUUUCUUCGCUGCGCCCUCAUGCCAAUUAUUAUUGGAUCUGAAGUUAACAGUAAUUUGUUAAGUACGUCUCGGUUGCAAGAGACCCUUGAAAAUUUUCUCGCGAAUCUAUGACGAAACAGCCGAAAGUGUUUGUUUCGAGCUUUUGCGGCUUCUGAUAAUUGAACUAUAGGAAGAAGGGCGUGCUCUAACCUUGUUUGAACGAAGUGACCGUACACACGCAGUCGUAUCCGUGGAUUCGUACUUUCGAAUACGGACUCAACACCCAGUUCUGUAACGAAAGAAUGUCCGUUAAAACUAACUGUAUCCGUGGUCACAAAGAGUCGGAUGUGUGUGGUUCCUUGUCUUCUCUCCGACAAGGACUGCCAUCUAGAAGGAUGCGGGUAAAUAAAUGAGCAUCCUUCUGCCUAACAGUGCUUGUAUUAUGAAUUAACAAGCAUCUCAGUUCCUUCUUUCGGAGCAGCAGCGGACGGGGGGGGGGGGGAGCUGGAUGCUUGUCCCGGCGAGGCCGAACAGUCGGCAGCAGCAGCAGCAUAUCUAUGUAUCAUCACCUAUAUAAUCACGUGACUUAUGUAUAGGUUAUAUAUCACAUGACAUUAUGUAAUUUAUAUAUCAGCGUUAGGUUAUGUUAGUGGAAGUUAGGUUAGUUGUUUUAACCCUGCAGAAGGGAAUGAUUUCGCAGAAAAUAUCUGUG
This 1497-nucleotide long non-coding RNA is filed under the name Androctonus crassicauda. The record is from RNAcentral. Lineage: Eukaryota; Metazoa; Arthropoda; Arachnida; Scorpiones; Buthidae.